UACAGGGGGGGCAAGCGUUGUUCGGAAUUACUGGGCGUAAAGGGUUCGUAGGUGGCCAACUAAGUCAGACGUGAAAUCCCUCAGCUUAACUGGGGACUGCGUCUGAUACUGGAUGGCUUGAGUGUAGGAGAGGAAUGCGGAAUUCCAGGUGUAGCGGUGAAAUGCGUAGAUAUCUGGAGGAACACCGGUGGCGAAGGCGGCAUUCUGGACUACAACUGACACUGAGGAACGAGAGCCAGGGGAGCAAACGGG
RNAcentral lists this ribosomal RNA (252 nucleotides) under uncultured bacterium. RNAcentral's name for it is "partial 16S ribosomal RNA". It matches the Rfam family "Bacterial small subunit ribosomal RNA", at positions 524 to 776 of the family's 1533-position model. The record is from RNAcentral.